CUUCUUCAUAUUGUCCCUUUAAUAUUACUAUUGAAAGGAAAUUUAUUCAUUGGAUAAGU
Molecule: transfer RNA, 59 nt
Filed under: Sagaminopteron nigropunctatum
Lineage: Eukaryota; Metazoa; Mollusca; Gastropoda; Cephalaspidea; Gastropteridae
Description: tRNA-Ser
Source: RNAcentral